GACGAACGCUGGCGGCGUGCUUAACACAUGCAAGUCGAACGAAAAUACCAAGCUUGCUUGGUUGAUUAGUGGCGAACGGGUGAGUAACACGUGAGUAACCUGCCCCUUACUUUCCUGGAUAACUGCUCGAAAGGGUAGCUAAUACGGGAUAUUCUGACUAGCCUGCAUGGGUUGGUUUGGAAAGGUUGUUUUUCUGGUAAGGGAUGGGCUCGCGGCCUAUCAGCUUGUUGGUGGGGUGAUGGCCUACCAAGGCUUUGACGGGUAGCCGGCCUGAGAGGGUGGACGGUCACACUGGGACUGAGAUACGGCCCAGACUCCUACGGGAGGCAGCAGUGGGGAAUAUUGCACAAUGGGCGCAAGCCUGAUGCAGCGACGCCGCGUGAGGGAUGAAGGCCUUCGGGUUGUAAACCUCUUUCGUCAGGGAACAAGGCACUGUUUUUUUGGUGGUGUUGAGGGUACCUGGGAUAAAGAAGCGCCGGCUAACUACGUGCCAGCAGCCGCGGUAAUACGUAGGGCGCAAGCGUUGUCCGGAAUUAUUGGGCGUAAAGAGCUCGUAGGCGGCUGGUCGCGUCUGUCGUGAAAACUUCCGGCUCAACCGGGGCUUGCGGUGGGUACGGGCCGGCUAGAGUGCGGUAGGGGUAACUGGAACUCCUGGUGUAGCGGUGAAUGCGCAGAUAUCAGGAGAACACCGAUGGCGAGGCAGGUUACUGGGCCGUUACUGACGCUGAGGAGCGAAACGUGGGAGCGAACAGG
This 753-nucleotide ribosomal RNA is filed under the name uncultured Actinomyces sp. RNAcentral describes it as "bacterial SSU rRNA". It matches the Rfam family "Bacterial small subunit ribosomal RNA", at positions 28 to 776 of the family's 1533-position model. Lineage: Bacteria; Bacillati; Actinomycetota; Actinomycetes; Actinomycetales; Actinomycetaceae. The record is from RNAcentral.